RNAcentral lists this ribosomal RNA (465 nucleotides) under Vreelandella stevensii. RNAcentral's name for it is "partial 16S ribosomal RNA". It matches the Rfam family "Bacterial small subunit ribosomal RNA", at positions 338 to 795 of the family's 1533-position model. The record is from RNAcentral. Lineage: Bacteria; Pseudomonadati; Pseudomonadota; Gammaproteobacteria; Oceanospirillales; Halomonadaceae.
CCUACGGGUGGCUGCAGUGGGGAAUAUUGGACAAUGGGGGCAACCCUGAUCCAGCCAUGCCGCGUGUGUGAAGAAGGCCCUCGGGUUGUAAAGCACUUUCAGUGAGGAAGAACGCCUGGUGGUUAAUACCCAUCAGGAAAGACAUCACUCACAGAAGAAGCACCGGCUAACUCCGUGCCAGCAGCCGCGGUAAUACGGAGGGUGCGAGCGUUAAUCGGAAUUACUGGGCGUAAAGCGCGCGUAGGUGGCUUGAUAAGCCGGUUGUGAAAGCCCCGGGCUCAACCUGGGAACGGCAUCCGGAACUGUCAAGCUAGAGUGCAGGAGAGGAAGGUAGAAUUCCCGGUGUAGCGGUGAAAUGCGUAGAGAUCGGGAGGAAUACCAGUGGCGAAGGCGGCCUUCUGGACUGACACUGACCCUGAGGUGCGAAAUCGUGGGUAGCAAACAGGAUUAGAUACCCGAGUAGUC